UAGAAUUAUGAUGCUAAUGAUGAAUAGGUUGCAUUCUGGUUGAUGUGUACAUAUAAGUCCCCAUAAAAUGAGUAAAUAUGCUUUGCCAUCCCUAACAAAAUACUUGUAGACAUCUGUCAAUUACAUCAGUUUCUUUGGUUCCUAAUUCUUUAGAUACCAUGCAGGGAAAAAUCCCCCAUUAGUCAAGUCUGUUAUAGCCAAAAAGAAUCAACAGGCAUCUUAACUAUGUCCUUUCGUUCAUGCUUUUCAUAAUGAGAUCAUAUUGACUACAUAUCACAACUCACUAAUUGAAUAGAGGUCUUCUCUUGCGUGUUGGCAUUCCAAGUUCAUCAAUUAUGAGCCAGAAUUCCCAUCCUCAUCUCUCGAGAAAAUGUAGUACUGUCCACCUAUCACAUAUUUCACACACCUCAAUAUGGUAAUCACCCAGAUGCAGGAAAUAGGAUAUGCAUAACUUAAAUCACCAAUCAAAUUCAAAAAACUUACCCCUUUUAUUGUUUUUCCCCAAAAAAGUGAGGUCUUCACUCAAUUCGAACAAACCAUAAGGAAAUGUUCCCAAAUCUCCUCUUCCCAUGGACAGCCUGCCUGCCUUUAAUUGGACUCUAGCAGUAAUUUACUCCAUUUUGCAAAACCAGUCCAUAGAUGCCUACUAAACACCAAGAAAAAAACAUUUUUUGGUAAGUGAAAAAAGUGGGGAGGGAUGACCAAUGUUGACUAUACCUUAGGCCUUACCAUAGGAGUUUCAUACCCACCAUAGAAUAUUUGAUUAGGACCAUAACAAAUCAGUACCACCCGAGACCUUAACGUCAGAGAUUGGCAUAGCCCAUUCAGAAAAGCCCAACCAGCGUGUUUGCUGUUCAUAACUCUCUCCACAUAAGGUAACAGCACCCAAAAUCCGACAAAUCCUCUUAGAACAUUGAACACUCUUUAGUACUAACUGCAAGUAAUGCUAAAAUUCAUAGACGUUGCAUACACUCCGGGUUUUAAGAGAGUAGGCUAUUAAUGACAUUGGACCAAACCAUUCCACAUGACGCGUGCAUGUUGUGCAAAUGCGUCACAACAGUGCAACAUGCAUGGCCAUCUGUGGCCACACAAAAGCCAAACAGACUAUUAUCCCGGCUUUGCUGCCUUUUUUGUUUCUCAAUCCUUUCAUUUCCUUCCAAACAUUGCAAGUUUCAGAGAGAUCUAUGGCUAUCACUCAGAGAUAAAUCUCAUAUUAAUUGAGGGGUACAAGAAUCUCAAGGUUUGAAAUGGAACUCAAAGCUAUAUUUAAAGUCUCUUCUAUUUGAUUUUCAUAUUUGAAGAAAAAUGUCAUUUUCAUCACAGAAAUAAAAAUUCCUAAAACGGGUCUAGUUCUUCACAGUAUUUGUGAGAUUCUUUUGCAGGAUUCAAGUUUCAGACCUCUAGCUCAUUCAUCCUAGAAAUCCCAGGUAAAUCUGAUCAAAUUCACGAUUAUAUGCAUGCAUCCUCCUUAAAAGAUAAAAGUAUAUUUUAUGGUCUUGUUUGUAAUUAUUUUCUGCUCAUGCAACUCACCUAGUUGAAAAAUCUAGCUACGAAGUCAUGUGAUUGUUCAACAAGUAUCUUUGCACUAAUUCCCUCUAUCCCAACAAAGCAGCCAAUUUUCAGAAGUAGGGUUAUGCCAUGGUUCGAAUUGAUUUAGUUUGGUUCUUCUUUAGCAGUAAUUUUCAGACCAAACUGAAAAAUCCUCCUAAAACAUAAAUGAUCAAAAUUAAAUCCACGAUUUGGCAUGUACGUAAUAAAGACAUCAAGACAUCGUUUGGGCCUUAUAAUUCUUUUAAACAAGACCUCUGCAUUCUUCGGGACCCAUUUGUAAAAAAGGUCUCCAGGUCCAAAUGUAAUCAAAGUGUGGCCACUUAGACGUAGCUAGCAAAAAAUUUUAUGAGAUGCCAACCAAGAAUGUUAUCUGUUGGACAAGCACAAUUUCUGGGUACAUGAACUGCGGUCAGCUUGAUGAAGCCAGAGGGUUAUUCAAUACAAGUCCAGCCAAGGAUAUUGUCCUGUGGAUGGCUAUGGCCACCACAAUAGUUUUAAUUCUUAUAAGGAAUAGAACACUUUUAGCUUAAAAGUAAAGCAAGUGUAUAAGACUACAAAUUGACAAUGUGAAAGUAGUUUCUAUACAAUAGCAAUUCCUAAAAUUUUCUCGUAAACAGAAGAAAUGUUUGAGAAAAGAUAAUCUCAUUGGUUUUGGUGGGCAAACCUGAACUCAACAGAAAAUUCAAGUUGAACCCUUUUCAUCCCAAACCAAAGAAAAGUUAAUUAAUUGAGUUCAUUCUUUUCUUCUUCUUCUUUUUAAGUAUCUUUAAUUCUUUCUUUUCUGCACGCCCAGCUUAACAUGUUUAGUACAUCGAGCAAACCUCUUAAGUGUUUUAGAACAUCUGUUAUCCUUCCAUGGGCAAUUUGAUUGAGAUGGCUGCCAUUCUGCAAACACGUAGAUCUCAUACUACAACCUCAUAUAUUGGAACACAGAACUAGGGUCCAGUCAGUGGCCAAUCCAGAAACUAACAAACUAACUCUAAUAGUAUCAUAUAAGAGAGGCUAAUAAACAUAUAUAUGCUGAUUAUUAUUACAGUCCUGACUCAUGAAAAUUGUAAUCAAACAUUAGAUAUAUGACUAUUAAACUCUAUUCCAAAUAUAUAACCUUUAAAAUUCACAGAAAUGUGAAAAGACAAAGGCCAACUAAUGUCUAGGCAGCAGAGGAAUGCUCUAUUAGGAGCUGAUAUGUUCCUUCCUAAUUUGGGAAAAAAGCAAGAAAAGCUCUUCACAGCCUUCAAGAAACCUAUAAGCUUGAAAAGAUUUCACUAGUUACUUUAACGUCUUCCAGAUCUGACAUCCAAGAGUAGUUUUGUUUGGUGUGGUUUACAGCAACAGCAGCUAAUUAUGGACAGAAGUAUCAGCAGACAAAGAACAAGAGCUCAUACAUCUGAAGCCACCGACUACAUAAGCCGACUACCAGAUGUAAUUCUAGUCUAUAUACUUUCAUUCCUCCCUCUGAAAGACUGCAUCAAAAUAAGUGCCCUAUCCAAAAGAUGGAAGUACCUUUGGACAAAGACUUCUCGACUAAAUAUAAACGAAAUAGAGAUCAUUGCUAAGCUAGUGAGAAGCAAUUUCUACUGCACCAUCUGUGAGGACAUUUGGACUUCUUCUACUACUUGUUGCCAGAAGCAUUUGCUUAAGGUAGCAAGGAGCAUGUUUGCAGAUGUUGUAGACCGAACUCUCCUACUACACUCAGGCUGCACCCUGGACAAAUUCCAAUUGUCUUUCCUUUAUGAUGUCUAUGAUGGAUUGACAGAAAAGGUUGAUAUCUGGGUUAGGUAUGCUUGGGCAUCCAACAUCAAAGAUAUGGAGUUGAGCUUCUUUAAUCCAGGUCUGUUGGAAUACUUCGAUGAGAGGGUACCUGUUCGCGUAGGUGUCGACCUUAAUUUACUAUAUGAACUGCCUCAUAACUGUUUGGUAUCAAAGAUUCUAAGCAGUUUGAACAUGAACUGCUGCAAGCUAAGAGCAUCUGCUUUAAAAGUUUUUCCUUCUCUUCGAAGGAUAUUCCUAAAGCAGGUUGUCAUCCUUGAUUCUUCAGUUAGAGUUCUGGCAUCAAAAUUUCCUCUUCUAGAAGAUCUGAGCCUGGAAAAUUGUGUCAUCUCCAUACAAUUUUUUGUAUGUGAUGAAGACUUGAUGAUUAAAAGACUUUAUGUGACCAACUGCAAGCCCAAUGAGAUCCCCACCUUCGAGAUUAACAUAUCAACUCCGCGCCUAGUACUACUGGUGUUACAUGGAGUCUAUGUCAAAUUGACUUCUAUGAGGAAAGUGACACAACUGGUUGACGUUACAAUCGACAUCAGAUGUUUGCUUGUCAGCAAAGAACAAGCAGGUCUUACUUCAUUGCUGAGUGGAUUACGCCACUCCCAGAAUCUGACAUUAACAUCAUGGUGCAUUCAGGUAGCUUUUCUCUAUUCCUCUUGCUUGCAAAUUUUGAGCCAAAUACACUCAUUGUCACAUAUCAGUCUGUGGUCAUCAGGCUCUGCCUGCAGAUGAAAAUCUGACAGAUCAAGCGAGAUUCCGACUUCAAGAGGUGGUGCAACUAACUUUAGCGCUGUGCUUAGUAAAGCAUGAUCUUCCGAGGGUGGCCUGCCUCCUAAGGAGCUGUCCAAAUCUGAAAUAGCUGACUCUAACAUUGCAAGGAAAUGCUAGGGCAUAUAACAUGGUAUCAGAAAAAAGAAUCUUACAAGGAAAUAUUAUGAUAUUUUCUGCUCUAUCAGGAGCAUCUAACAUGUGAUCUUACUGUUUUCUUUAGGGUAAUUUCUUCCGUAAUGGUGGUCCAGACAUUUCAGACUGUGAUCCAGAGCACUACUUUCAAUCUGAAUGUUUGCCAUUCCCUUGUCUGGAAAACAGUCUCGAGAAAAUUACAGUUAAUGGGUUUGCUGGAAGAAAGAAUGAGAUGAACGUUGUCCGUUUUCUGCUGAGAAACGCAAGAGUCUUGGAGGAAAUUUCCAUCUUUUAUGAAGACGCAGAGGAGUAUUAUAGAGGAGCAAUGGGACUGUGGAGGCAAAAUGGGCAAUUCCAUCAAAUAUUUUGUGAGCUGCUAAGGUGUCAGAGGGUAUCGGCUCGAGCUGAGGUGAUAUUUUCAAGCCCCCCAAGCGAAUAUGUUAAUUAUGAAGGGUCCUACUAUCUGGUUCAGUAGUUAUGUCUAUGCUGUUCCUAAGUUCUCCCUUUCACAUCGUGCUGAGGAAGGCAUACGUUUUAUAUGGCAGAUCUCUUAUGUUUGGUACCAACUUGUUUGCAGUACUUAUAAAUAAAUACCGCUCAUGUGAUUAUGACGUCCAAUUGUGACAAAAUGACGUGUGGCCUUUUAUCCAUCUAUUCUUGUUAGCUCUAUUGAAUAUCCUCAGCUAUUAUCAGGAGUAAACCAAGCCUCUUGCAACCAAGGACCCAAUUCAUUUUGAGGUAGCUUGACUUCUGGCAAGUAUUUAACAUCCACCUUAGGCCAAACAAAAGAUAUGUACAUGCUACAUGCACACCUACUCAGUCAAGCAGUACAAAUCUUGUUUUAUUUUUACAGGGACGGAACACCUAGCAAACCAUCUAAUAAAAAAGCAUACAAAAAUCAACUUGACUGCCCCUGCAACAUAUUUUCAGCACCCCUGUGCCUUGUGUUUCUACAUUCUGAACACCGUUACAAUAGUUGAGAAUGAGUAGUUCUAGUCUAGAUGGAAUCCAUGAAGUGAAUAUGACAUGACAGAUUAAACAGAAUCCCAUAAAACCAUAUCACAUUUAGAGUCCCACAUAUAGCCAAUGCAAUUCAAACAUCAAAGACAUGAUUAACUAUAACAUUGCAAAUUCAAGAAUGCAGCACAUACCAACAACAUUAAGUGAGCAGGCUUCUUUGCCUUGGGUGCAAAAGAGUAAGAGGAUCCAGCCUCACGUGAUUGAUGAGAAAGCGCUCCUGGUUUCCAUAUCAACAGAAAGCAGGUGUAUUACAGAACAAGUAGCGAAAAUCCAGCCCAUGGUGGCGCCAGCGCCUCAAAUAGAGAUGUCCCAUCCAGUAGAGAGAUUGAAACUGGGCUCAGGUUGGAAUGAGAGAGAAAGCUAAGAACCCUGUAUAAAAAGCAAGAGAAUAGAAAAAAUGGAUGGAAAUUGUCAGGUUGGAUCUCAAAUUGGACCCAGUGUUAGAUCUUCUAUGGAACUAACCAUACAGGCAUCGAUUUGUAUUGUAAUCUUGGAAACGUUUACAGCGUGUUCUGUGUUUUGGCUAAGAGUUUGUGCAUAAGGAAUUUGACAUGUGAAGAAAACAACUCUCUCUCUCUCUCUCUCUCUCAAGCAAGUUUGAGAUUGAUUGACCAGAAAGAAUUACUGAAACGGGAGCUAUAUUAC
This 5880-nucleotide long non-coding RNA is filed under the name Eucalyptus grandis. RNAcentral's name for it is "long non-coding RNA (EGRA_LNC003834)". The record is from RNAcentral. Lineage: Eukaryota; Viridiplantae; Streptophyta; Magnoliopsida; Myrtales; Myrtaceae.